Molecule: non-coding RNA, 70 nt
Organism: Podarcis lilfordi (Lilford's wall lizard)
Lineage: Eukaryota; Metazoa; Chordata; Lepidosauria; Squamata; Lacertidae
Source: the annotation of a GenBank genome assembly
GGCCAUAGCUCAGCAGUAGAGCAUUUGAUUUGCAUGCCAAAGGUCCUGGGUUGAAUCCCAAGUAGGGUUG